GAGUUUGAUCAUGGCUCAGAUUGAACGCUGGCGGCAGGCCUAACACAUGCAAGUCGGACGGUAACAGGAUUAGCUUGCUAAUUGCUGACGAGUGGCGGACGGGUGAGUAAUACUUAGGGAUCUGCCUUUGUGAGGGGGAUAACCAUUGGAAACGAUGGCUAAUACCGCAUAAUGCCUACGGACCAAAGGGGGCUUUUAGCUCUCGCACGAAGAGGAACCUAAGCGAGAUUAGCUAGUUGGUGGGGUAAAGGCUCACCAAGGCGACGAUCUCUAGCUGUUCUGAGAGGAAGAUCAGCCACACUGGGACUGAGACACGGCCCAGACUCCUACGGGAGGCAGCAGUGGGGAAUAUUGCACAAUGAGGGAAACCCUGAUGCAGCCAUGCCGCGUGUGUGAAGAAGGCCUUCGGGUUGUAAAGCACUUUCAGUCGUGAGGAAAGGUUGGUAGUUAAUACCUGCCAACUAUGACGUUAGCGACAGAAGAAGCACCGGCUAACUCCGUGCCAGCAGCCGCGGUAAUACGGAGGGUGCGAGCGUUAAUCGGAAUUACUGGGCGUAAAGCGCACGCAGGCGGUUUGUUAAGCUAGAUGUGAAAGCCCCGGGCUCAACCUGGGAGGGUCAUUUAGAACUGGCAGACUAGAGUCUUGGAGAGGGGAGUGGAAUUCCAGGUGUAGCGGUGAAAUGCGUAGAGAUCUGGAGGAACAUCAGUGGCGAAGGCGACUCCCUGGCCAAAGACUGACGCUCAUGUGCGAAAGUGUGGGUAGCGAACAGGAUUAGAUACCCUGGUAGUCCACACCGUAAACGCUGUCUACUAGCUGUUUGUGUAUUUUAAUACGUGAGUAGCGAAGCUAACGCGCUAAGUAAACCGCCUGGGGGAGUACGGCC
Molecule: ribosomal RNA, 884 nt
Filed under: uncultured bacterium
Lineage: Bacteria
Description: bacterial SSU rRNA
Rfam family: Bacterial small subunit ribosomal RNA
Source: RNAcentral